Long non-coding RNA from Ailuropoda melanoleuca (giant panda), 6474 nucleotides. RefSeq lists it as uncharacterized. The transcript is spliced from 4 exons. Lineage: Eukaryota; Metazoa; Chordata; Mammalia; Carnivora; Ursidae. The record is from RefSeq and is a predicted model, not a curated record.
AAAAAUUAUUAAAAAAAAAAAGAAAUUUGAGGCCCCAUUUCUUUCCCUAAUGGCCACAGAGUCUUUGCAAAAAUUCAGGUCUAUUGGUGGCUUGUGUUGGGCUCUAUCUUAUUUAUUGAGCUGCCUUCUGAAGCCAUGCUGGAGACUCUGUAGUUUUUUGGGCAGCUGACAGGCAAUGAUUCUGAUAGCUGUGCUUUUACGAACUCACCCAGAUCUCUAACUAGUAUGGACGGUUUGAUGCACUGGCAAGAUGCUUGCCAAAAACAUUAGUGCUUUGCAGUUCUCCACCCUUUUGGAAAUGGACAGUUACUCAGAUUGUCCAAGGAAAACUCUGCUUGAUCUGGAUCUGAGGUGGCUUAUUGGGUAAAUGAGAUCAGGGUCACAUUAAACAGCAGCAGUCGUGAGUUGAUGGAGGGAUGGACCAGUUAGGAGUUCGUGUAUCAGAUGGCCAUGAUGAAGCCCGAUCAGAGGCAGCAGGGUCGGAGAGGGGCUGUGGGUGAAGCUCCCUGCUCCCAUAGGGUGGGCCUGGAGAUCUGAAACAGGGAAUGUGGGGCACGCUCCCCCUCACCUAACCCCCCAUGCCGGCCCUCCGACCUCCCUGAAAGGUCAUGAAACAGACACAACACACGUGCAGCCCACAAGGCUGUGGAACCUGGGACAUCUGAGCAAGAUAAUUUAUAUUUGUGCCUUGUUUUGAACUCCUUGCAGCUUGCAUGCUAUCAAUCCGUAUUUAUUAGUUGAGAGUGUGGUGGUAGGUAGAAUAACGGCUUCCCAAAGAUGGCCACAUUCUGGAAUCUGUGAGUAUGUUACCUGCAAAAAGGGUUUUGCAGAUGCGAUCAGGAUUAAGGACCUUGAGAUCAGGAGAUUUCUCUGGAUUAUCUGGGUGGGGCCGAUGUAAUCACCAGUCUUAAAAUUUUGAGUCAGAGAAGGAGAUGUGAUGAGGAAAACAGAACCAGAUUGGUGCAAUGUCAGAAACACUCAACCAGCCAUUGCUGGCUUUGAAGAUGGAGGAAGGAGCCACUAGCCGAAGAAUGAAGGUGGAUUCUGGAACCAGAAAAGGGAAAGAAAUGGAUUGUCCCCUAGAAGAUUCUCCCCUGUGUUCCAGAAGGAACACAGCCCUGCUGACACAUUAAUUUAGCCCAGCGAGACCUGUUUUGGACUUCUGACCAACAGAACUGUAAGAGAGUGAAUGUGUGUUGUUUCAGGCCACCAAGCUGGUGGUGAUUUGUCACAGCCGCUGCAGGAAAUGCGUGCAAGCGUGCUGCUGGAUGGUCUUGGCUCCCUGAGUGAGCCUUGCUUUGGUCGCUGCAAACUGGGAAGCCACCAGGGAGCCUUUAUGCAGAACGUCCACAUUGUGGGAGGAAUUUAGGCACAAAUACACCCCAAAGCCAGAACUUUCUGGGGUUUUAGAAUUGGGAUAUUUGAAGCCCCUUCCUUAAAAUUAAUGUUAGUAUAUUACUACUUUUAUGGAUAGAAAAAAAUUCUCCUACCCUUUAAAGAGAGAUGCUUUGGUUAAGAGUGGAAUUAUAUAGGUCAGAGCUCUAUUUCAAACCAACUGUCUUUAUUUUCAUUUGAAUUUGGGGCCAAGACUAUUUACAGAUCAUAAUAUAGCCACUUGAAUUUCCUGAAGUGUUUAUAGGAUUUUCUCAUGUGGAAUAUCAUUAAAUGGUGAAGGUACAUCAUUAAGCUUAAUUAUGAGCUUCUCAAAAGACGCACUUUUUCCAAAAAGAAAGUCUCGCAGAGUGGGAGGAGCUAAUAACCAUGACCUCCGUACCCUUGAAGCAGAUGGUCACCUGGCUGACUUACUUCCUGCCCCUAUGUUCACUUUCUUUUGUAUCCCAGCAGCAUUUAUUUGUUAGUGAUUAGUUUUUAUAAAUUCCAUUUCCUUUUUUUUCUUACUCUUGCUAACCUGAGAACCAACAAAGUCAGCUACCUUUGAGGUUUGAGAUAAAUGUUUAUUCUUUCUCAGAAUUUUAUCUGGUAUUUGGGUAGCCUGAAAAUGCUGUGACAUUUUCACUGAUAUGAUUAUACCAUGUAGCCAGUAUAGAGUGCUAACGGUCAGGGGUUUUUUAUUAUUGGCAAACUUGUCUCUUAUUAGCGUGUUGAAAAUAUUAAACACAUACACGUAGGAUAUUGUUUUUAGUUCUAUAGGCUUAUGCCAAAGUCCUCCCAAAUAUAAGAACGUGAAAAUAAGGGAUAUAAGAAUUGGUCUUAAAUUUUGAUAUUCAUCUGUUGGGCCUUCAGGUCAGAGCCCAGAAUGCUGUGUCUCUUUAAGGAGGUGAAGAGUUCCCGGGCCUUCAGCUAACGUGUAGCCUAAGUGAAUUAGCCCCUGUGAACAGAAGAGGCUUGCUCUCAGGUGGAGACCUUGAGAAGGGAAACUCUUGAGACAGACAUUGGAAUUGCCUCUCUAUACUUUGUCCUCAGAGCACAGAUCUGUGGCAGGUAGCGACAGCCAACGAAAUAUAUAGUCUAAUUGCUCUGGAAAGAUGGGUUGAAAUGACCUGCACGUACUUGUCCUGGUUUCCCCAGCAGCAUUCUGGUGGUUACUUGGCUCCCUGUGUCACAGAUCUUGCUAUUUGGGAAAACAUUCUGGUCCCUGUGAUGAUGUUUCCCAUCGCAGAAGAGCUGGUGCUCCAAUCAUGGCCUGCGCUGUGGACUUGAAGGCUCUGCCCUGGCUGGUUGAACCGGGUUUCUGGGUGUGCAGGGUGCGUCCAACCACGUCUCUGGACUGCACUGAGUCCUAAGAGCUGAGCAGCCUCCUGUGGGAAGGCUGGCCAGGUUGUAUCUGGUGGCCACACGCGCACAGCUGCACACUGCCCCACGUAACUGCACUAGGACGGGGACGUGAUGUGCAGAUGAUGUUGAGAGUUUUGUGGCCACACCUGCAUUUGCAUCUUGGCUCUGUCACUUCAUAGUUCCUUGACCUUGGACAUAUUACUUGAGCUUGCUGGACCUCAGUUUUCUUAUCUGUGAAUUGAGGAGACCACCUCCAUUUUAGGGUCCUUGGUACAUAGAAAGUGUUUAAGAAAAUUUAGCUGUAGUAUUAGUUAAUUAGCUAAAGGCAUUGUGAGUCCCUGCAAACAGCUCAUUCAUUCAUUCCUUUAAUACAAGAACACCGCCCCUCUCUGUGCCACACAUGGUGCCGUGCCCGUUCCUGGGAGAGAGCAGCCAGAGGGCCCCAAGACCUCGUUUGCUUUGCUGCCUCCUUGGCUUUUAUGUUCUUUUUCUCAUCUGAUUAUACAAAAAGAGAUAAAUAGAUACUUACUUUAAAUCAUUUGAAAUGUAAGGAUUCCAAUGUAAGCUCUUAAACCAGUCUCAGUCACCCAGCUUUAAAUCAUACACAGAGAAGAAUUUGAUACAAACUUCAUUUUUUCUUGAAGGGUUACUGUGUGUUGGGAGCCAGCGUGUAAAGACACUCUAUUACAGCAACAUUUUUAGUUUUAAAUCUUUACAUUGGUUGUGCCGGGGAAUUUAUUUUUAUGGCUAUUAAUUUUUCUUUUGAAAUUAAUAUGCUAAGGGAUACAUUUAAUGAUCCAUAAAAAUAUUGACUUUAUGUAAAAGAAAAGCUAAAGCUAAUUAGCAUAUUAUAAUUUGCAUAUGUAGUCCCGCUCAUUAGAUAUAAAUGUGUUUCCCAUGUAACGCAUGAUAUUUUUUGACUCUGACAUAUAAGAAGACAUUGCUCUUUUCAAAUUUAACCUUUUGGGUGAUAAACAGAAUUCUGUUGACCUGUUACAGGCUCUGUGUUGAAAGUAAAAUAUUUUUGUGGUUACUGAUUUCAUAGUGAAAGCAGUGCUUUCCGUAGUUUUGGGUUAGAAUCCUUUUAUGUGUGUGGGUUGAGGGAGACAGAAGCAGAGGGCUGGCGGUCUUGGCUAGGAAACUCAGAGCGUCUGGAGGACCAGUUUUGUGGUCUCCAGGGUGUUGUUUACAAGGAGGACCCAGGGGCCUCCAGAAAAAGGGUGCAGACCAAGAAAGAUGGCCCCGAGAGUCAGCGGCCGUUGUCAGCUUUGAGGGUGAGAUGGGAUUUAUGCCUUGCACAUUGCCCUCUGUGGGCCUGGCCUGGUGAACCCGUGGCCCAGUCCCAGCAGGCAGUGGUGCUUUAAAAAAUCGAGUGUGAACACUAAAUGGUGUGUAGGGUCCUGGGGUGGGGCGGGUAUGCAGGAAGCACAGAGCAGUGCUGCUUAUGGCCCACAUGGAGCAUAGCGUGGGAUGAAAGGUGGCCCCCCAUUUGGAAUUACGAGUAAGUCAGGGACUUGGAGUGGAAGAGAGAGAGAGAGAGAUGGGCCAGCAUGCUCCGAUGGGGGGUGCAGGUCGUGGAGAUUGUCAGUGAUGGAGAACUCACUGGUGCCACUGCAAGGGAGACAUGGCAGGUAUCUCCCACGUUGUUCAUGGCCACCAGCCUUGAAUCUAGAGCCCAGUGGGGAGCAUUUCGGGGUGGCCCUGUUCCAACAGGGAGGGAGAGGGCCGGCUGCAGAUUUUGGUUGCUGUUUCUCAUGACCCCUAUUGUGUGGCCCAGGCCGUGUGGUAUCUGGAAAACAGUGCUGCCAACCCCUUGGUGUGUUUUUGUGGAUGUCCUGGCUGUGUAGCUCCUACAGGAGAUGAGCUCAGAGAGCCUCAGGCUCUGCACGGGGCAGGCAUUAGGCUCCGGUUGCUCAUCCAGACUUUUGUUGUGAUGGUUUGAAACAUGCAACCCAAAUCCUUCCCUAAGGAGCCGCUCUGCUAGGGCGUUCUUGGACAUGAGCCAGCAGCGCCAGAGUCAGCCAGAGAGGGACGGAGGAAAGUUUUUCCCCUUUAGGCUCCCCUUGAGGGCUCUCAGAAGAAGUGGGUGGCUGGACGGGAGAAGGUGAGGGAGUGGAGAGGGAGGAUCAGAGCGACACAUUCCCGUGCCCACGCCGGGCACAGCCACAGUCGUCAGCCCUGUCUGUGGAGGGGAGCCACCACCUGAAAAUACCGCUAAGAAGCCCAGAUGCAUACAGGCCCAUCAGUGGAGAUUUAUUCUCUUGGACUGAACGGUGUCUCUGCAGGAUUGUCUUCUUUGAAGGACACCAGUUCUAUUGAACUAAGGGCCCGCCCUGCUCCAGGAUGACCUCAUCUUAUCCCAUUACAUCUGCGACAACCCUGUUUCCAAAUAAGGUCACAUUCUGAGGUACUGGGGGUUAGGGCUUCCAUGUAUCUGUUUUGGGGGGCCCAGUUCAACUCAUAUAUCUACUAAAUCUUCAUCCCUCUUUACAAAAUUGUCUUCGAGGGAAAUCCAGCUCAGCACCUGAAGCCCGUUGAAAUGCUACCUCUUUCCUGAGGCCUUUCAUGAACUUCCCUCCCUGCCCCUCUCUCUUUUGUGCUCCCCACAUCUCUUAUGCACUCAUCAUGUGGCUCAUUGUCCCUCGCUAUUCAGCAUGGCUCCCCUUCCUGAGAGCAGAAAUCGUCCAAUGGCUCUCUGUACCUUUGAUUGAGUCCAGAGACACUUCUUUGUGGAAUGGCUUAGGAUCUCACAAACCAGUACCAUUUGGGAAUUCAGCGAUGAAGGAGAAUCUGGGAAUUCAGGAUCAAGGAGCUAUUAGAGUAGAUGGGGACUAACCAGGUGAGCUUCCCUGAGAGUGAUGGGAUAGGGCUUUGGGAGAUGGGAGGCAGAGAGAACCUUCUAGGCUGUUUCUUGAACAUAUUUUUUUGUCGCAGGGGAAGAUCAUGAGCGUGCCUCCUUAUGUUGACGUGUUUGAAUGUUCUGCACUGGGUCUCAUAGCUUGGACAGCAGUCAGUUACGGGUUCAUUGUUCACGGCCACAGCUGGGAGGCUCCCUGUCAAACUCUGCCCUCUGCACUGUUUUGAAUAUCCCACCUGUGCUGCUAUCUGUGUGUUUAGUGAGACGGUCACCCCUCUUUAGUGAGAGAGAGAGAGAGUAGCAAGCGAGAAGGAGAAGCAGACUCCCCGCUGAGCAGGGAGCACAACGUGGGUCCUAUCCCAGGACCCUGGGAUUAUGACCUGAGCCCAAGGCAGACGCUCAAUCAACUGAGCCACCCAGGCUCCCUGUCCUUUCAUAGUUUUGCAGAGUGUGGAACAUCACAGCGAAGAGGACUUUUGGGAAAAAUGUCAAGAGAGGAGCUUAAGGGGUGAUUCAGUUGACUAGAAGGGGAAAAUGUGUAGUAGACGGUCUACAAGGUAUUUCACAGCUCUCAAGUGUUAAUGUAACAGGAGCACAAAUGCUGGUGAUGAAUUCAGGACCAUUGUCUCCAAAACUGGCAAACAGUAAGUAAGGAAUAAUUAGAGGGUUUCAGCCCAAUGUAACACAUUAUGCAAGAAGUGUUAAAUGAAGAAGUCUUACUGUUUAAACAUGCUCUCUUUUCUUUUUCAUACAGAAAAGUACAGACAGUAAUACCACAAGCACUCACGGACCACUCCCUGGAAUUAAUGAAUAUUUAUAACAUUGUGCUAUGUUUGCCUCAGAUUUUUUUGAAAUGAAAGCAGUAAAAUAUUUCUGAUAAA